RNAcentral lists this ribosomal RNA (434 nucleotides) under uncultured Pseudobutyrivibrio sp. RNAcentral describes it as "bacterial SSU rRNA". It matches the Rfam family "Bacterial small subunit ribosomal RNA", at positions 341 to 792 of the family's 1533-position model. Lineage: Bacteria; Bacillati; Bacillota; Clostridia; Lachnospirales; Lachnospiraceae. The record is from RNAcentral.
ACGGAAGGCAGCAGUGGGGAAUAUUGCACAAUGGGCGCAAGCCUGAUGCAGCGACGCCGCGUGAGUGAUGAAGUAUUUCGGUAUGUAAAACUCUAUCAGCAGGGAAGAUAAUGACGGUACCUGACUAAGAAGCACCGGCUAAAUACGUGCCAGCAGCCGCGGUAAUACGUAUGGUGCAAGCGUUAUCCGGAUUUACUGGGUGUAAAGGGAGCGUAGGCGGUUUAUUAAGUCUGAUGUGAAAGCCCGGGGCUCAACUCCGGUAUUGCAUUGGAAACUGGUAAACUUGAGUGUCGGAGGGGUAAGUGGAAUUCCUAGUGUAGCGGUGAAAUGCGUAGAUAUUAGGAGGAACACCAGUGGCGAAGGCGGCUUACUGGACGAUUACUGACGCUGAGGCUCGAAAGCGUGGGGAGCAAACAGGAUUAGAUACCCUGGUA